AAUCAUAGAUACCAGAAUAGGGGCUUACUCUUCAAGUGGUUAUGGAGAUUCAAUCAAAAUGAAGGAGCGUUAUGGAAAGUGGUGGUUACCAAAAUGUACGGAAGUGAGCACAACUGGAGUACCAAAAUUACUAACUCAGCACAUGGAGUGGUCAGUGUUUGGAAACAUAUAAGAAGUUUUUGGGAUGACCUUGGUAGAAACACGGAUUUUGGUAGGUAAUGGUGGCAACACUCUUUUUUGGCAUGAUGCAUAACACUCCCCUCUGAAGGAAUUAUUUCCAGAUCUUUAUAAUUAAGUGAGGCAUACCCAUCAUACUACCGCACAAUGUAGAUCUAGUACUGGUGGGAGUUGAGUUUCAGGAGAAAUUCCAAUGACUUGGGAAGUGGAUAGGCUCUCUUCUUCUUCUUCUUCUUCUUUUUUGGUGAAGUGGAUUGGAAGUAUGUUGAAUUAGAGGCGAAGUUAGCAGUUACGGCGCCUUUUGAACGCCUGUAUGUUGAAUUGGCGGGGAUAAGAAAUUCUACGGGCUAGUCUCAAGGCAAGAGAAAGGAGGACCCGUGACCUAGACCAAGUGAAGUGCAUCAAGGACGAGAGGGCAAAAUACUGGUGGAGCAGGCACUCUCAUUAGCCAGAGAUGACAGUCAUACUUUCAUGAACUCUUGGACGAAAAGGGGAACAGAGACAUUGUGCUGGGGAAUUUAGAACACUCUGAGAGGCGUCACGAUUUUGGGUAUUGUAGGUGUAUAAAGGUUGAGGAAGAUAAGGGUGUCAUUCGUAGUUGUGUAGGGGAAGAGCAACUGGGCUAUGUGAGACCCUGUUGGAAUUUUGGAAAAGCGGCAGGUAGGGUAGGUGCAGGGUGGUUAGUUGAGUUGUUUAUUGUCGCUUUGAAGACGGCAAAAAUGUCCGAAGAAUGGAGGUGGAGUACAAUGAUCCCAUUGAACAAGGACAAGGAUGACACUUAAAAUUGCAACAACUAUAGGGGUAUCAAGCUCCUAAGCCACACUAUGAAAGUAGCGCGGUGGAGAUAAGGGUGAGAAGGGGUGUAGCUAUUAUCGUGAACCAGUUCAGAUUCAUGUCGGAGCGCUUAACUACAGCAGGCAUUCAUCUUGCAAGGAGAUUAGUGGAGCAAUAUAGGAAGAGGAAGGACUUACACAUGGUAAUCGUCGACCUAGAAAAGGCUUACGACAAAGUCCCAAGGGAGGUUCUAUGGAGAUGCUUGGAGGCUAAAGGGGUAGCUGCGGCAUACACUAGGGCGAUCAAGAAUAUGCAUGAUGGAUCCAAGACUCGGGUAAGGACAGCGAGAGGAGACUCAAAGUACUUCUUAGUUGUGAUGGGGUUGCACCACAGAUCAGCUCUUAGCCCGAUUUUGUUUGCCUUGGUGAUGGAUGAAUUGAUGCGACAUAUCCAAGGAGAGGUGCCACAAUGUAUGUUAUUUGCGGGUGGCAUAGUUUUAAUUGACAAGACUAAAGAUUUGGAGACAAACCUUGGAGUCUAAAGGUUCUGGUUGAGCAGAACCAAAACAGGAUAUAUAAGAGUGCAAGUUCUGUAAUAUGACACAUGAGGCUAGCGUGGAGCAAGGCUUGAUACACAAGAAAUCAAAAAGAGAUGAGGUUUCAGGAUCUUGGAUCUAUUUUCCAAGGAAAUGGAGAGAUUGAAUGAUGUUACACAUCAUGUUGGUGCAGGGUGGAUUAAAUAGAGGCUCCCACCUGGAGUCUUGCGUGAUAAGAAGGUACCACCAAAAAUUAAAGGCAUGCUCUAUAGGGUGGUAGUUAGACCAACUAUGUUAUAUGGGGCGGAGUGUUGGCCAGUUCAAAACUCUCACGCUCAGAAGAUGAAAGUUGUGAAAAUGAGAAUGUUGUGAUAGAUGUGUGAGCAUACUAGGAGGAUAGGAUUAGAAAUGAAUAUAUCUGAGGCAAGGUAAGGAGUGGCUUCAGUGGAGGACAAGAUGUAGAAAGCGAGGCUAAGAUGGUUUGGGCAUGUGAAGAGGUCAUGCAUGGAUGGCAGAGGUGUGAGAGGUUGUCUAUGGAUGGUUCCAAGGGCGGUAGAGGUAGCCCAAAGAAAUAUUGGCACUAUUGGGGAGAGGUGAUUAGACGGGACAUCACGCGAUUUUAGCUUACAAAGGACAGGAUUGUAGAUAGAAGGUUGUGGAGGACACGAAUUAGGAUAGAAGGUUAAUAGGUAGUAGAGCAUUUUCCUUCCAUAAUAGUAGUCGUAGUAUUACUCUUGUAGUUUCUUGUCCCUCAAUUUCUAUUACUACUUGUUGUUUCUUGCAUUUUGCUUGUUGUAUUAUUUUGUUUUAAUUACUGUUCAAAAUGAUUUGUCACAUGAUUUCUAUAGUAUUUUGCCAUAGCUUGUUCACUUCCAUUAUUUCUUUUGUCCUACUGUUUCGGAUUGUUUUUCAUUGAGCUGAGGGUCUACCGAAAACAACCUCUACCACUAAAGUAGGGGUAAGGUCUGCAUACACUCUAUCCUUCCCCGACCCACUUUGUGGAAUUACACCAAGUAUGUUGUUGUUGUUUAAGUGGAUAGGAAGUCGAUAGGUUCUCACAACUCAUCAAAAUAUCGGAAAGCUUCAAAUUCCAGGAAAUGGUAGUUGACUGGCUAGUAUGGGUUCCACAAAGUAAAGGUACCUUCUCGGUCAGCAGCUGCUACAAAUUCCUAUUGACCUCCAAUACAUUGGAUCAGAAUUACAGCUUCUGGCCUUGCAGGCAGAUAUGGA
This is a long non-coding RNA of Solanum stenotomum, 2716 nucleotides long. RefSeq lists it as uncharacterized. The transcript has 3 exons. The record is from RefSeq and is a predicted model, not a curated record. Lineage: Eukaryota; Viridiplantae; Streptophyta; Magnoliopsida; Solanales; Solanaceae.